UCACAGUCCAUUCGUGACGUGUGUGUGAACACAGACCCAGAAGGAGAACCCUAAAGCCUAAAGAGAACCCUCCUGUGUGUGUGCUGCAUCUCUAGGGAGACCGGAAUAUUCAUUGCAAUCCUCGUGAGCUGUCCAUACCCUCAGUAUUUCCUGUUGCAAGUGUUUUAUUGAAUCCACUCCUGUUUAACUCAAAAUGGUGCAGAAUAAAAGACACACAUCUCGUUUGGCUUUUCUUUUAAGUUUCUGAACUGCUCUCUUCAAGUUAGUAUUAGUGGCAUCAAGUCCUUUCCAGGGUUCCCCAAGUUACCUUCUCUUCCCACCCCCACCCCUUCUGAAGAUGUGUGUUUAUGUAUUUAUAUAUAAAAUUAUAUUCUUGUAUAGUGAUGGCUGAAGAGAAUGUGGAGACUGUGGAAGUUAUGUAUGAAUAGGAGAGUGUGUGUUGUGUAACACAGACAGAAGGACAUUGGAUCAUGUUGAACCGCACCCCCAACUAUGAGUGAUGGUAUGGAAAGAAUGCGAACAUUUAAACUGCGCCAAUGCGGCGGCCAUCUUGGUGGAGAAGUUCCUAGCCGAGCUUUGAUGUGAUUUUUUUGAUGGUACAAUGCAGCGAGCAUGGCCACGGGAGCUUUGAAUCCAGCCGACAGCUCCGAGAUUUGCCCUUCCAGUGCUCUUGCCUACGUAGAGAGGACUGCUGAGAUGGGAUUCCUUGUGACAAGCCUACUUACCUUUAACUGCCAGCAUUUGUAAGGUGCAAUCUUGUGUAUUGGUUUUUUAUUUUGACAGUUUUGAAAACAUGUUUGUUGUUCUUGUUGUUUUUCCAGUAAAAGUAAUCACAAAGG
This 839-nucleotide long non-coding RNA is filed under the name Rattus norvegicus (Norway rat). RNAcentral describes it as "long non-coding RNA NONRATT015821". The record is from RNAcentral. Lineage: Eukaryota; Metazoa; Chordata; Mammalia; Rodentia; Muridae.